Molecule: non-coding RNA, 97 nt
Organism: Irpex rosettiformis
Lineage: Eukaryota; Fungi; Basidiomycota; Agaricomycetes; Polyporales; Irpicaceae
Source: the annotation of a GenBank genome assembly
GGGCACUUGGCACAGUUGGUAGCGCGCACGCUUCGCAUUCAGUUGCGUAGUGACUGAUGACUGCGUGAGGUCGUGGGUUCAACUCCCACAGUGUCCA